UACGUAGGGUGCAAGCGUUAAUCGGAAUUACUGGGCGUAAAGCGUGCGCAGGCGGUUGUGCAAGACAGAUGUGAAAUCCCUGGGCUUAACCUGGGAAUUGCAUUUGUGACUGUACGGCUAGAGUGUGUCAGAGGGGGGUAGAAUUCCACGUGUAGCAGUGAAAUGCGUAGAUAUGUGGAGGAACACCGAUGGCGAAGGCAGCCCCCUGGGAUGUGACUGACGCUCAUGUACGAAAGCGUGGGGAGCAAACAGG
RNAcentral lists this ribosomal RNA (253 nucleotides) under uncultured bacterium. RNAcentral describes it as "partial 16S ribosomal RNA". It matches the Rfam family "Bacterial small subunit ribosomal RNA", at positions 524 to 776 of the family's 1533-position model. The record is from RNAcentral.